AUUGUUCAUAUUCAUGCUUGUAUUUAUAAAUAUCGGCCUUAACUGUGGUGCGAAGCCAACCUUUAUACGUAGGAUUAAAUACUCUUCUAAUAUAAUGAAUCCAUGCAGGAUUAGAAGUAAAAGAAUAAGGCAAACACAUACAGUAAUCAUUUUAGCUAAUACUUCACGAUCCUUACUUGGAUCGUAAUAUAAUAUACCUCCGGUGACUGUUUAUUCAUGGUUGAACUAGAUUUGAACCAGUACUUGGGUUAACUGUAGAAUCAGCACUUGUCCUCCCCUCUUGUUGCGCUUUCAAUUGCAAAUAUCUAGCCUUAU
RNAcentral lists this long non-coding RNA (315 nucleotides) under Nicotiana benthamiana. Its description in RNAcentral is "long non-coding RNA (NBEN_LNC011518)". The record is from RNAcentral. Lineage: Eukaryota; Viridiplantae; Streptophyta; Magnoliopsida; Solanales; Solanaceae.